CAGCCGUAAACUAUGCGCGUUAGGUGUAUCGGUGACCACGAGUUACCGAGGUGCCGAAGGGAAACCGUGAAACGUGCCGCCCGGGAAGUACGGUCGCAAGGCUGAAACUUAAAGGAUUGGCGGGGGAGCACCACAACAGGUGGAGCCUGCGGUUUAAUUGGACUCAACGCCGGGAAGCUCACCGGAUAGGACAGCAGAAUGAUUGCCGGGCUGAAGACCCUGCAUGACUAGCUGAGAGGUGGUGCAUGGCGUCAGUGACU
RNAcentral lists this ribosomal RNA (260 nucleotides) under uncultured archaeon. Its description in RNAcentral is "partial 16S ribosomal RNA". It matches the Rfam family "Archaeal small subunit ribosomal RNA", at positions 748 to 1008 of the family's 1478-position model. The record is from RNAcentral.